AACGAACGCUGGCGGCGCGCCUAACACAUGCAAGUCGAACGGGGUGCACGGAGCUGAUCACUUCGGUGUGAAGCACUGUGUUACCUAGUGGCGAACGGGUGAGUAACACGUAGGUAACCUGCCCUCAGGAUUGGGAUACUCCCGGGAAACCGGGCUCAAUACCGAAUAUGACCCCGAGGUGAAAUGCCUAGGGGUAAAAGCUGCGAGCAAUCGUGGCACCUGAGGAGGGACCUGCGGCCUAUCAGCUUGUUGGUGAGGUAACGGCUCACCAAGGCAAAGACGGGUAGCCGGACUGAGAGGUUGAUCGGCCACACUGGAACUGAGACACGGUCCAGACUCCUACGGGAGGCAGCAGUGGGGAAUUUUGCGCAAUGGGCGAAAGCCUGACGCAGCGACGCCGCGUGGGGGAAGAAGGCCUUCGGGUUGUAAACUCCUUUAGUACGGGAAGAAGUCCCGAGCAAUCGGGAUGACGGUACCGUAAGAAUAAGCCACGGCUAACUCUGUG
RNAcentral lists this ribosomal RNA (505 nucleotides) under uncultured bacterium. Its description in RNAcentral is "bacterial SSU rRNA". It matches the Rfam family "Bacterial small subunit ribosomal RNA", at positions 29 to 507 of the family's 1533-position model. The record is from RNAcentral.